This 23-nucleotide small nuclear RNA is filed under the name Arabidopsis thaliana (thale cress). RNAcentral describes it as "snRNA_13727". The record is from RNAcentral. Lineage: Eukaryota; Viridiplantae; Streptophyta; Magnoliopsida; Brassicales; Brassicaceae.
ACAAACCCAAUAUUAAAUAGGAA